Hypanus sabinus (Atlantic stingray) is the source of this 453-nucleotide long non-coding RNA. RefSeq lists it as uncharacterized. The record is from RefSeq and is a predicted model, not a curated record. The transcript is spliced from 4 exons. Lineage: Eukaryota; Metazoa; Chordata; Chondrichthyes; Myliobatiformes; Dasyatidae.
GUAUCUUCCCCCAACGUCCCUUUCCUGAGUCAGCCAGUGACAAUGCAUCCAGCUAUAAGUGGUCUGGGGUUUGUCAAAGUCAAGACUGGGUGAGAUUCAACUCUUGGAGAGCAAGGAGACGUAUUAGAUUACAGAGGAAGGCCAGGGGAGGUAAACAAAUAAAGAGCAGUUGCUGAAAAAAGGUCGAUUGGGAAAUCAUGGACCUCAUCUUUAGCAUAUGGCAGCAGGAUAGGAUAGAAGUCCUUGAACCUGAAGAAUCUACUUGACCUGCUGAGUAUUGCCAACAUCUUCUGUUCCUACAGAUAUAUCAGUCUUUACACAGGAGUUUGAUGAAGGUUGGAGCAGAGUACACAGCCUGGAGGUGAGGUGCAGCCUAUGAUUGGCUCCAUUGAUUCUCUCCGAUUGAGGUGUCGUGCAAGGUUGAAGCCAAUGAGGUCAGGAGCAGAGGACAGG